This is a long non-coding RNA of Nicotiana tabacum (common tobacco), 1700 nucleotides long. RefSeq lists it as uncharacterized. NCBI's taxonomy places the organism in Eukaryota, Viridiplantae, Streptophyta, Magnoliopsida, Solanales, Solanaceae. The record is from RefSeq and is a predicted model, not a curated record.
CUAAUUUUAGUUUUCAUAUCGGAGAUAACGAGAUACAAAGGCGAUUUCAGACUCGAUCUCCUCCAGGCAAUUUUGGACUCGAUCCAAGCUCAUCCAUCAACAGUUUCUUCAAAUCUGAAAAUCGUUAAUUGGAAGGCUUAAUUUUGGACUCCAGGCUCAACAACAGAGCGGCGUGCUAAUUAAUCCUUUCGAGUUUCUCCAAAUUGAAAAUCGGCAGUUGUGACUUUAGCUGGGCUUUACUAUUGGAGUGCUAAAUUAUCUGGAAACUACUUCGGGCCAAUUUGCUUCUUGAAUUACUGGGACUAGGGAGAUUUUAACAGUCAUGAAUCAAGAAGGGUGCUCACUUUAAAUCAAAGGGAUUUAAAGUUAUGAGAAUGACAAGCUUCAAAUGGAGAAUAGGCCGCUAGAUGUUCCGACAUCUCACUUUAAAGCUCUUCUUGAAUAUUGGAACUCCGAUCCCGCCAUGGUAAUUACAUCCAACUUUUGCCAACUUUUGGUUGGAAUAAACAAAGCUCCUGUAAAUAAACUAGAAAUUAUUAGAUGUUGGAAUGCAUGAGAAAGGGGAUUACAUGCCUUAUUCACUUUUACUUCUACCUAUAAUUUGUCUUAGUAUCAGUAGGUCAAAAAAUUAGAGCAUGUUCUAUGAAGAUCAAAUCUCCAUCAUAGAGAAGCUAUGUAAUGUUGGCAUAGUUCUCCUUUAUAAAGUAUAUAUCUGUCGAGAAAUGCAUUAGAUAUUAGAUAUGAUUUGCCUCUUACACUUUGUGUUGUUUGAAUGUCUUGGCGUACUAGAAAAGUUGUCCUUAACGUCAUUGUUACCUAAAACACAAGGCCAGGGUAUAGCCAAGGAAUUGUGGAAACAUUAAACAGGAACUCUCUCCUUAACAGCUGCACCUUGUGUGGUUAAAGAAGUUCAACAUUGUGAUGUUUUUCCUUUCUUGAACCUAGUUGAUUCCUGCUAUGGCUCUUUCUUCAUCUUUCGCCAUAUUCUGCUCCAUAUCCUUUUGGCUAAAAUCAACUAUAGUUCAUUCUGCUUCAUUGCCAAGUUGCCAGGACUUUUUGGUUGUUUUGGCAUUCAAUGGGCAGCAAGAUCAUAUUUCUAGAAUAAAAAAUAAGUGUCUGCACAAUCUAUUUCUAUGGUGUAAUAGUAGUUUGAGUUAACAAGACUUUUUUAAAAAAGAAUAAAGGAAAUUUUGGAUCCUCUGUAAAUGCUAUUGAUGAGAGAAUGCAACAACAAAUGGAGGAAAUGGAAGAGAGGAUGCAACAAAGAUUGCUGGAAAAGUUGAAUGGACAAAAGGAAGCUAUGGAACAAGAUAUUAUGAUGAACAUCGUUACAUGAAUUCAACGUCUCAACCCCGAUUUGAAGACUUGAUCGUGACAUGCUAGUAUUCAGUGCUCUUGCACCUGGUGAAGCUUCUUCUGCACAACACGAUGCUAUUCAACAAAUCAAUCGUCCAUCCGCUGGCAGUAACAAUCAAGGUGGAGUUUAUUUAUACUCUUUUGUAGGUGGAGUAGAUGAAGAAAUGAAAGACAGAGGCAGUGAUGAAAAUCUAGACCUACUUAAGAGAAUUUUGAAUUGUUGAUUGUUGUAGAUGCAUGUGGCAGUUUCUAGGAAUGUUUGUUAUCAAAACAUUUUAAAACUUUUAACUCUUGAAAUAUCAAAUGUAUGUACUUGGUAACAUUUAUCUAUGGAUAUUAUUAUA